AGUAAAUAGAUACCCGGGUAGUCCACGCCGUAAACGAUGUCGACUUGGAGGUUGUGCCCUUGAGGCGUGGCUUCCGGAGCUAAACGCGUUAAAGUCGACCGCCUGGGGAGUACGGCCGCAAGGUUAAAACUCAAAUGAAUUGACGGGGGCCCGCACAAGCGGUGGAGCAUGUGGUUUAAUUCGAUGCAACGCGAAGAACCUUACCUACUCUUGACAUCCAGAGAACUUAGCAGAGAUGCUUUGGUGCCUUCGGGAACUCUGAGACAGGUGCUGCAUGGCUGUCGUCAGCUCGUGUUGUGAAAUGUUGGGUUAAGUCCCGCAACGAGCGCAACCCUUAUCCUUUGUUGCCAGCGGUUAGGCCGGGAACUCAAAGGAGACUGCCAGUGAUAAACUGGAGGGAGGUGGGGAUGACGUCAAGUCAUCAUGGCCCUUACGAGUAGGGCUACACACGUGCUACAAUGGCGCAUACAAAGAGAAGCGACCUCGCGAGAGCAAGCGGACCUCAUAAAGUGCGUCGUAGUCCGG
This 525-nucleotide ribosomal RNA is filed under the name uncultured bacterium. RNAcentral describes it as "bacterial SSU rRNA". It matches the Rfam family "Bacterial small subunit ribosomal RNA", at positions 775 to 1296 of the family's 1533-position model. The record is from RNAcentral.